This 2107-nucleotide long non-coding RNA is filed under the name Homo sapiens (human). RNAcentral describes it as "IGF2 antisense RNA (IGF2-AS)". The record is from RNAcentral. Lineage: Eukaryota; Metazoa; Chordata; Mammalia; Primates; Hominidae.
UCCUAGGCCCGCGGGCUAGAGGCACUUUACCGCCCGGCGGGAGCGCCUCUCCUCCGCGUCCCUCGCCCCAGCCCCCUGCCCGCCCCACUUUGGGACCCUCCAGCCGCUUUCCCCACAAAUGAGAUCUUUGCAAUGAGCAAACGAAAGUGGCGCGGAUUUCGGGGCGCCCAGCAGGAGCGAGCGCAGCCGCCAGCCGCAAGUCCGCAGCCGUGUCCCGCGCCCCACGCCGGCCUCCCCGGCGGCAGCCGGAGACGAGCGCCAGCACCGGCGGGACAGCAGCAGAUGCGGGCCGAGAGCCGGUCAGGGGCGCAGAGGCGGAGGGGAUCGGCGCGGCGGGGAGCUCACCGCGAAGCUGGAGGCUGCGUCCGCGGGCGCACCAGGAGCUCAGGCAGCGAGCGAUCGAACGCUCUGUGGCAGGCGGUGGACGCUGCUGAAGCUCUGGCUCUGAGCUCACCGCUCCGCCGUCCGUGGGACCAAGCCCAGCAUUUUACAAACCCAGCUCCUUUCUCCAAGGGUCCUCAGAGCGCCCCUCCGUCACCCCCUGCAGGGCGCCGCAGACGAGGCGCUGACCUUGCGCUCACUCCCCUCGCUGGGGAAGGACACACUCGCUGGCGUCAGCCCGGCCGGCCUGGGAAGUAGGACUAAGGACCCGAACUGCAACCCUCCACACCAGACAGCACAGACCACCCCAAGGCUGCUCAAUCUGCCCAAAGCCAAAAGAGCUCCCCUGCCAGGACCUCGGUGCCGUGGAGACUGCGGGGAACCUGCUCUGCCCACACCUGCUCUGGCCCCUAGACGGAAGCACCUGGAGCCAACCACGGAACUCCAGAUCCCAGCUGUGUGACUGAAUCCACGCCAGCCUCUCUGAGCCAAAGCUGCUUGCAGAAGGGGGAGAUCCCAGUUCGAAGACUCCCGCGCAGAGCCUGUGGCCCUCUCUGCCAGGCCUCAGGGUGCCUGAGACACUCACCUCUCUGCCUCGCAGUUGGGGCUGAGGCUGGGGCUGGCUGCCAGCCUCAGUUCUGGGAGCGCUGGGGUCGCCUGGGCCACAGGCCACAGCAGCUCACCUCAGGACUGGGCUCUCUGGCCUGCUGGGGCUCAGGCUGUGGGGCAGGCUGGGCAGGGGGCUGAGCUGGCAGCGAUUCAGAGCCCUGGGGCUGGGGGCUGGAAUCCACCUCCUCCCACACAAGCUCGGUGGUGACUCUUCGGCCCCUGGGGAAAAACAAAAAGAUAUUGCUGAGAUGACCUCUUUUAAAAGCAAAGCCCCCCUCCCCAUACACCCCAAGCCUGAGCCCUGUCCCAUCCCCCUCCCCGGGUUCCUUCAGGUCACCUUGUCAGGAUCUGGGCAGCGGCUUCCCCCUCUAGCCCCUCCCCUGCCUAGAGCUCCCUCUUUCAAAGUAUAAGGGAGGGAAGAAGUGGUGAGAAGUUUGCCUAGAAAGGGCUUCCCGGUGCUGAUGGAGAGGCCGAGACCCUUCUGUUGGACAGGCUGCCCUGUUCCUGGGUGAGGAUGGGCUUCUGCCUGGCACUGGGGGUGGAGGGUGCACACGAAUGGCCCGCCUUGAGGGGUCAUGGCACGGAAUAUGAAAGCCUCCUCCACCUCCAAACACCCCCACCUUGGAAGGAGAUAAGGAGGGGGCCCCAGCAAAAGCCACUGGACACACAGCUCUGCUUGACGAGGCCAGUGAGGGACGGCGUGGCUGUGCUUCCUGGGGAAAUGAACCCCCUCCCCACAGACACCACCCUGGGUGGAUCGAGGAGUCUGGGUCCAGGGUGCAACAGAGAAAAACUUCAUGCAUGAAUGAGCAUUCCCAGGGAAACUGCCUUGGCCCCAGGGCGCCUCUCUGUGCCAGGGAGGCUGGGAGAGCAGCAAGGGGGACCAGGUGCGCCAUCAGGAGGAGAGAAGCUAAACCUAGGGGGGACAUGGAGGGCGGUUGUUGCCUCUCCCGGCAUUUCUCCUCAGUCUCCUGUCCAAUUUCUUGCUGGUGGUCAGGAGGCAUAGGGAGGCAGGAGGGAAGGAAGCUUUACCUGUAAAAUGGUGUAUAUAUGUAUAAAUAAAAUCUCUGCGCCAGAAAAAAAAAAAAAAAAAAAAAAAAAAAAAAAAAAAAAAAAA